Molecule: ribosomal RNA, 457 nt
Filed under: Streptococcus sp. oral taxon 071
Lineage: Bacteria; Bacillati; Bacillota; Bacilli; Lactobacillales; Streptococcaceae
Description: bacterial SSU rRNA
Rfam family: Bacterial small subunit ribosomal RNA
Source: RNAcentral
GACGAACGCUGGCGGCGUGCCUAAUACAUGCAAGUAGAACGCUGAAGAGAGGAGCUUGCUCUUCUUGGAUGAGUUGCGAACGGGUGAGUAACGCGUAGGUAACCUGCCUGGUAGCGGGGGAUAACUAUUGGAAACGAUAGCUAAUACCGCAUAAAAUGGAUUAUCGCAUGAUAAUUCAUUGAAAGGUGCAAAUGCAUCACUACCAGAUGGACCUGCGUUGUAUUAGCUAGUUGGUGGGGUAACGGCUCACCAAGGCAACGAUACAUAGCCGACCUGAGAGGGUGAUCGGCCACACUGGGACUGAGACACGGCCCAGACUCCUACGGGAGGCAGCAGUAGGGAAUCUUCGGCAAUGGACGGAAGUCUGACCGAGCAACGCCGCGUGAGUGAAGAAGGUUUUCGGAUCGUAAAGCUCUGUUGUAAGAGAAGAACGAGUGUGAGAGGGAAAGUUCACACU